GACAGAGGAUGCAAGCGUUAUCCGGAAUGAUUGGGCGUAAAGCGUCUGUAGGUGGCUUUUUAAGUCUGCCGUCAAAUCCCAGGGCUUAACCCUGGACAGGCGGUGGAAACUACCAAGCUGGAGUACGGUAGGGGCAGGGGGAAUUUCCGGUGGAGCGGUGAAAUGCGCAGAGAUCGGAAAGAACACCAACGGCGAAAGCACUCUGCUGGGCCGACACUGACACUGAGAGACGAAAGCUAGGGGAGCGAAUGGG
Molecule: ribosomal RNA, 253 nt
Filed under: uncultured bacterium
Lineage: Bacteria
Description: partial 16S ribosomal RNA
Rfam family: Bacterial small subunit ribosomal RNA
Source: RNAcentral